RNAcentral lists this ribosomal RNA (469 nucleotides) under uncultured Pelotomaculum sp. RNAcentral's name for it is "bacterial SSU rRNA". It matches the Rfam family "Bacterial small subunit ribosomal RNA", at positions 918 to 1380 of the family's 1533-position model. Lineage: Bacteria; Bacillati; Bacillota; Clostridia; Eubacteriales; Desulfotomaculaceae. The record is from RNAcentral.
UGACGGGCCGCACAAGCGGUGGAGCAUGUGGUUAAUUCGACGCAACGCGAAGAACCUUACCAGGGCUUGACAUCCCCUGACCGCGUAUGAAAGUACGUUUUCACCCUCGGGUGACAGGGAGACAGGUGGUGCAUGGUUGUCGUCAGCUCGUGUCGUGAGAUGUUGGGUUAAGUCCCGCAACGAGCGCAACCCCUACGUUUAGUUGCUAACGCGUGAAGGCGAGCACUCUAGACGAACUGCCGUUGACAAAACGGAGGAAGGUGGGAUGACGUCAAAUCAUCAUGCCCCUUAUGUUCUGGGCUACACACGUGCUACAAUGGCCGGUACAGACGGAGGCGAAGCCGCGAGGCGGAGCAAAUCCGAAAAAGCCGGUCUCAGUUCGGAUUGCAGGCUGCAAUUCGCCUGCAUGAAGUCGGAAUCGCUAGUAAUCGCAGGUCAGCAUACUGCGGUGAAUACGUUCCCGGGCCUU